Monodelphis domestica (gray short-tailed opossum) is the source of this 1187-nucleotide non-coding RNA. Lineage: Eukaryota; Metazoa; Chordata; Mammalia; Didelphimorphia; Didelphidae. The record is from RefSeq and is a predicted model, not a curated record.
UCUGCCUUGGAACCCCACAGACAGGAGGGCCUAAGGCACUGCCUUGGACCGGACCUUCAGGGGCUGACUUCCCCUUGUGACCGGUCUGCCAAUCGAGGGAAGGAGUGACAGGACACCCUUCAGAUCUCCAGGCAGUUGUCCACCUGGGACCCUGGAAUCCACUGAGGACGCGCCCCUAAAGACACUGUCUGCAGCCUUCCCUCCCCCUCUUAUUCCCUUCCCUCUCUCUCCUACACAUAGGUAGGGACAGCUCUACACCCAUGCUCAGCACUGAAGAAACUACAGAAGAUCUGGACCUCCUCCCUUUUUCCCUUAGACAUUUGGAGAGGGGAGGGGAUGGGAAGGCAGGGGGCACUGAACCAGGUGGGGCCUGAGAUUCUGGCCCUCUGGGAGGCUGUGUGGUUCCCCUAUGGAUGGCUGGGCUGGCCAGAUGGCAGGACUCACUAGAAGCAGUGGGGAGACAGCUAGCAAAAGGAAUACAUGACCCACUCGCUUCCAUUACUUCACUUUCUCCCCCACCUCUUGGUUUCCCCCUCCCUUGUCACAGAGUAUCCCUCAAUCGGGAGAUACCUUAUCCCACCCGCAGGAGCGCACUGGCUGUGCCCCCGUUCUGGCCUACAGCCCUGGGUCUCCCCUAGCUCCCUCACUGCCCGCUGCACCCCCUCACAAUAGUACCCCGAGUGACCUACUAUGCCAAGCAGGACCUCCUCUUCCUUAAGGAGGGGGGCCUCUGUGCAGCCUUGGGCGAGGAGUGCUGCUUCUAUGUUAACCACUCGGGGAUUAUUAGGGACUCCCUGAGCAAGCUACGAGAGGGUCUAGAAGCCCUGAUGGAAGGAGAGGGAAACUGCCAGCCCCAGGUACGCCCACCUUUUCAAAUUUUCUCCCUAGUCACGUCCCUCAUAGGACAGGCCUUCCCUCUGCCCCCUAAGAGAAAAAGAAGUUGGGAAUGAAGGAGCUCCAAGCAGGGAGCUGCUUGGUCAGUACAGCACAUAUCACUAUAGAACAUCUGACCAACAGACCCCUGUCAGGGAAUGUGCCGACGCCCAAAACUUAGAGUCCAGGAGAAACUUGUGGGCCACGUAUGGUGGCUAGUGAUAUGCUGUCAGGCAUUGGGUAUAAAAGACUCUGCACUCACAACUGCAGGCGGAACUCCUGGUCUAUACCAGAAUAAAGGACCCUCCUCUUGA